Molecule: small RNA, 30 nt
Filed under: Bombyx mori (domestic silkworm)
Lineage: Eukaryota; Metazoa; Arthropoda; Insecta; Lepidoptera; Bombycidae
Description: ovarian small RNA-36293
Source: RNAcentral
UGUUUUUUCUAGAUCAAAUGAAUAGACGAC